Molecule: transfer RNA, 67 nt
Filed under: Triplophysa nasobarbatula
Lineage: Eukaryota; Metazoa; Chordata; Actinopteri; Cypriniformes; Nemacheilidae
Description: tRNA-Ser
Source: RNAcentral
GAGAAAGGCCAAAGGCAGUAAGUACUGCUAAUACUUAUACCCAUGGUUAAACUCCAUGGCUUCCUCG